UGGCGGACGGGUGAGUAACGCGUGGGUAACCUGCCUUACACAGGGGGAUAACACUUAGAAAUAGGUGCUAAAACCGCAUAAGCGCACAGCUUCGCAUGAAGCGGUGUGAAAAACUCCGGUGGUGUAAGAUGGACCCGCGUCUGAUUAGCUUGUUGGCGGGGUAACGGCCCACCAAGGCGACGAUCAGUAGCCGGCCUGAGAGGGCGGACGGCCACACUGGGACUGAGACACGGCCCAGACUCCUACGGAAGGCAGCAG
Molecule: ribosomal RNA, 258 nt
Filed under: uncultured bacterium
Lineage: Bacteria
Description: partial 16S ribosomal RNA
Rfam family: Bacterial small subunit ribosomal RNA
Source: RNAcentral